CUGGCGGCGUGCCUAAUACAUGCAAGUCGAACGAACUCUGGUAUUGAUUGGUGCUUGCAUCAUGAUUUACAUUUGAGUGAGUGGCGAACUGGUGAGUAACACGUGGGAAACCUGCCCAGAAGCGGGGGAUAACACCUGGAAACAGAUGCUAAUACCGCAUAACAACUUGGACCGCAUGGUCCGAGUUUGAAAGAUGGCUUCGGCUAUCACUUUUGGAUGGUCCCGCGGCGUAUUAGCUAGAUGGUGGGGUAACGGCUCACCAUGGCAAUGAUACGUAGCCGACCUGAGAGGGUAAUCGGCCACAUUGGGACUGAGACACGGCCCAAACUCCUACGGGAGGCAGCAGUAGGGAAUCUUCCACAAUGGACGAAAGUCUGAUGGAGCAACGCCGCGUGAGUGAAGAAGGGUUUCGGCUCGUAAAACUCUGUUGUUAAAGAAGAACAUAUCUGAGAGUAACUGUUCAGGUAUUGACGGUAUUUAACCAGAAAGCCACGGCUAACUACGUGCCAGCAGCCGCGGUAAUACGUAGGUGGCAAGCGUUGUCCGGAUUUAUUGGGCGUAAAGCGAGCGCAGGCGGUUUUUUAAGUCUGAUGUGAAAGCCUUCGGCUCAACCGAAGAAGUGCAUCGGAAACUGGGAAACUUGAGUGCAGAAGAGGACAGUGGAACUCCAUGUGUAGCGGUGAAAUGCGUAGAUAUAUGGAAGAACACCAGUGGCGAAGGCGGCUGUCUGGUCUGUAACUGACGCUGAGGCUCGAAAGUAUGGGUAGCAAACAGGAUUAGAUACCCUGGUAGUCCAUACCGUAAACGAUGAAUGCUAAGUGUUGGAGGGUUUCCGCCCUUCAGUGCUGCAGCUAACGCAUUAAGCAUUCCGCCUGGGGAGUACGGCCGCAAGGCUGAAACUCAAAGGAAUUGACGGGGGCCCGCACAAGCGGUGGAGCAUGUGGUUUAAUUCGAAGCUACGCGAAGAACCUUACCAGGUCUUGACAUACUAUGCAAAUCUAAGAGAUUAGACGUUCCCUUCGGGGACAUGGAUACAGGUGGUGCAUGGUUGUCGUCAGCUCGUGUCGUGAGAUGUUGGGUUAAGUCCCGCAACGAGCGCAACCCUUAUUAUCAGUUGCCAGCAUUAAGUUGGGCACUCUGGUGAGACUGCCGGUGACAAACCGGAGGAAGGUGGGGAUGACGUCAAAUCAUCAUGCCCCUUAUGACCUGGGCUACACACGUGCUACAAUGGAUGGUACAACGAGUUGCGAACUCGCGAGAGUAAGCUAAUCUCUUAAAGCCAUUCUCAGUUCGGAUUGUAGGCUGCAACUCGCCUACAUGAAGUCGGAAUCGCUAGUAAUCGCGGAUCAGCAUGCCGCGGUGAAUACGUUCCCGGGCCUUGUACACACCGCCCGUCACACCAUGAGAGUUUGUAACACCCAAAGUCGGUGGGGUAACCUUUUAGGAACCAGCCGCCUAAGGUGGACAGAUAUUAG
This 1475-nucleotide ribosomal RNA is filed under the name Lactiplantibacillus plantarum. RNAcentral describes it as "bacterial SSU rRNA". It matches the Rfam family "Bacterial small subunit ribosomal RNA". Lineage: Bacteria; Bacillati; Bacillota; Bacilli; Lactobacillales; Lactobacillaceae. The record is from RNAcentral.